This 75-nucleotide transfer RNA is filed under the name Clostridiales bacterium. RNAcentral describes it as "tRNA-Ala". It matches the Rfam family "tRNA". From Rfam's summary of the family: Transfer RNA (tRNA) molecules are approximately 80 nucleotides in length. Their secondary structure includes four short double-helical elements and three loops (D, anti-codon, and T loops). RNAcentral also lists the same sequence under 1 other name. Lineage: Bacteria; Bacillati; Bacillota; Clostridia; Eubacteriales. The record is from RNAcentral.
GGGGACGUAGUUCAGUGGGAGAAUGCUACAUUCGCAUUGUAGAGGUCGUGGGUUCGAAUCCCAUCGUCUCCACCA